Molecule: ribosomal RNA, 331 nt
Filed under: uncultured Prevotella sp.
Lineage: Bacteria; Pseudomonadati; Bacteroidota; Bacteroidia; Bacteroidales; Prevotellaceae
Description: bacterial SSU rRNA
Rfam family: Bacterial small subunit ribosomal RNA
Source: RNAcentral
UGAGGAAUAUUGGUCAAUGGGCGCGAGCCUGAACCAGCCAAGUAGCGUGCAGGAUGACGGCCCUAUGGGUUGUAAACUGCUUUUAUGCGGGGAUAAAGUGAGGGACGUGUCCCUUUUUGCAGGUACCGCAUGAAUAAGGACCGGCUAAUUCCGUGCCAGCAGCCGCGGUAAUACGGAAGGUCCGGGCGUUAUCCGGAUUUAUUGGGUUUAAAGGGAGCGCAGGCGGUCUUAUAAGCGUGACGUGAAAUGCAGCGGCUCAACCGUAUGAUGUGCGUCGCGAACUGUGAGACUUGAGUGUAUUCGAUGUCAGCGGAAUUUGUGGUGUAGCGGU